AUUGAACGCUGGCGGCAUGCCUUACACAUGCAAGUCGAACGGCAGCGGACCUUCGGGUGCCGGCGAGUGGCGAACGGGUGAGUAAUAUAUCGGAACGUACCUUUCAGUGGGGGAUAACGUAGCGAAAGUUACGCUAAUACCGCAUAUUCUGUGAGCAGGAAAGCAGGGGAUCGCAAGACCUUGCGCUGAUUGAGCGGCCGAUAUCAGAUUAGCUGGUUGGUGAGGUAAAGGCUCACCAAGGCGACGAUCUGUAGCGGGUCUGAGAGGAUGAUCCGCCACACUGGAACUGAGACACGGUCCAGACUCCUACGGGAGGCAGCAGUAGGGAAUUUUGGACAAUGGGCGCAAGCCUGAUCCAGCCAUGCCGCGUGAGUGAAGAAGGCCUCGGUUGUAAG
This 395-nucleotide ribosomal RNA is filed under the name uncultured bacterium. Its description in RNAcentral is "bacterial SSU rRNA". It matches the Rfam family "Bacterial small subunit ribosomal RNA", at positions 30 to 429 of the family's 1533-position model. The record is from RNAcentral.